CCUACGGGAGGCAGCAGUGGGGGAUAUUGCACAAUGGGGGGAACCCUGAUGCAGCGACGCCGCGUGGGUGAAGGAGUGCUUCGGCAUGUAAAGCCCUAUCGGCAGGGAAGAAGCAAGACGGUACCUGACUAAGAAGCCCCGGCCAACUACGUGCCAGCAGCCGCGGUAAUACGUAGGGGGCGAGCGUUAUCCGGAUUCACUGGGUGUAAAGGGAGCGUAGACGGCAAUGCAAGCCAGGGGUGAAAGCCCGGGGCCCAACCCCGGGACUGCCCUUGGAACUGUGCGGCUAGAGUGCGGGAGGGGCAGGCGGAAUUCCUGGUGUAGCGGUGAAAUGCGUAGAUAUCAGGAGGAACACCGGCGGCGAAGGCGGCCUGCUGGACCGCGACUGACGUUGAGGCUCGAAAGCGUGGGGAGCGAACAGGAUUAGAUACCCGGGUAGUC
RNAcentral lists this ribosomal RNA (441 nucleotides) under uncultured bacterium. RNAcentral describes it as "partial 16S ribosomal RNA". It matches the Rfam family "Bacterial small subunit ribosomal RNA", at positions 338 to 795 of the family's 1533-position model. The record is from RNAcentral.